This 1450-nucleotide long non-coding RNA is filed under the name Coturnix japonica (Japanese quail). RNAcentral describes it as "lncRNA (ENSCJPG00005011096.1)". Lineage: Eukaryota; Metazoa; Chordata; Aves; Galliformes; Phasianidae. The record is from RNAcentral.
GGGAAAGAGGUUCUUGUGGAGAUUCCAACCCGUGUUUUGGUGAGGAUGAUGAAACACCAUUCAUAAGGAAGGCGAGGACAAACAGAGCGCAACUUGUGCCUCACUACCACACGGAUGGCUGGGUGCAGAGCUCCUGAGGAGAUGGAGAAGAGCACUUGCUGACACAAGCCAUGGCAGUCAGACACAAGCUGCAGCUAGCGUUGGGACGUUCUUGCAGCCAGCUGAUUCCCAGACCUUUCCCUCCACAAGAGACUCAAUUGCAUGGCAGAACAAAGCUGGGAAUAUACUUCUCCCUCAUGACUUUUCUCUUGUGGAUGAUUUCUGCAGGGUUCCUGUUUGCAGGGAGAUUUGGAGGAUCGAGGCAGUCUUAGGAAGAGUGAAGCCAGCUCUUUCCAAGAGCAGGGAAAGUUCCUGUGGAGAGAGCUUGUGAGAGAACUUGUGCUUCCUCUGACACUUGAGCGAUCAUGUCUCAGCAAGGAGACAAGUGCGGAUCCAAUGCCUGCUCUGUGAGCGGAAAGGUAUGGCUGGGUUCCUUUGGCUUGACUUUUCUUCUUUGUUCCCAUUUGUAAGGGGAAGGAGUGGAGCAGGGGGCUAAUGGCACGGGCAGGGCUCAGGCUGUAUUUUCCCUUAGAGAUCAAUGAUGUCUCAGCACUCUGAUAUCCCAUCUCUGGCACGAUCUGGAAGCUCUCUGCCAAACUCAGCUGCCCGUUCCGACCUGAGUUUCUUCCUUUCUCUCUUCAGAGGCGGCGCGACACUAUUUGCCGUGUUUGGGAAAUGCAGCCAGCAGACUGCCAGACAUCCAGCUGCACCUUUCAGCGCGCAGAGGGACGCAAUGGGGAUGGACUGUCUUUACUGCCACGCAAAAGGACAGAGCCCGUGCGUCCAUGCAAUGGUGCUGGGCAAGGUGGGAAACGGAAAGCCCACGCAGGUAAGAACCUCUUGUGAGCUGUGGUGUGGGUACCUGCCACUAAAUAGGGCUGCAUGAAGGGGUGCAUGUGUGAUGGAAGAGUGAAGAAAGCCCACUGCAGAUCUGUGCUGACUGCAGAAAUGGCACCAUGCUGUAGCAGCAAAAAGGAAAAUGGUAGGAACUACACUUGGAGAGUUGAAGUUGGUGGUUGGCUGUGCUCAAAUCUUCCUCCCAAGAGAUGCUCUUCAAGUAUUUCUUGUUUCUUUCUGCCAGAAGAUGACGCAAGCGGCCUUCCAGCAAAGCGCAGCCUUGCGGCAGGUCUGGGUAGGACUGCAGCCUGUGACGUGGCACCCAAGAGAGGUACAGAGGCACAACAGGCAUCAGGGUUUGAUUCAAUGUCUUUCUAGUUAGGCUUUCUGUCCUUUCUUUCUUCAUACUCCUUUUGCUGCGUGUUGCUUGAGGUCUUCGUCCCUGGGAUUUACAAUUACCUUCCCUGUCCAGAUUUGAAAUGCAAACCCACACUUCAGCUAAGAUCCUAAGAUC